This 274-nucleotide ribosomal RNA is filed under the name uncultured bacterium. RNAcentral describes it as "partial 16S ribosomal RNA". It matches the Rfam family "Archaeal small subunit ribosomal RNA", at positions 473 to 747 of the family's 1478-position model. The record is from RNAcentral.
AAACCAGCACCUCAAGUGGUCAGGAUGAUUAUUGGGCCUAAAGCCUCCGUAGCCGGCUCUGUAAGUUUUCGGAUAAAUCUGUACGCUCAACGUACAGGCUGCCGGGAAUACUGCAGGGCUAGGGAGUGGGAGAGGUAGACGGUACUCGGGAGGAAGGGGUAAAAUCCUUUGAUCUCUCGAUGACCACCUGUGGCGAAGGCGGUCUACCAGAACACGUCCGACGGUGAGGGAUGAAAGCUGGGGGAGCAAACCGGAUUAGAAACCCCGGUAGUCC